AACGCACCUUGCGCCUCUUGGUAUUCCGAGAGGCAUGCCUGUUUGAGUGUCAUGAAAUAUCAAUCCCCAAGGGUUUCUUACCUUCUGGAAGAUUGGACUUGGGCGUCUGCCUCCACAGGCUCGCCUCAAAUGACUCAGUGGGAUCCUGUGGCCUAUGCCCGACGUAAUAAGUUUCGUUAUGGCUGACCGCUUGGGCCUGCUUACAACAACCCAUAUCAUUUUGACAUUGACCUCAAAUCAGGUAGGGCUACCCGCUGAACUUAA
Molecule: unclassified non-coding RNA, 264 nt
Filed under: Trichosporiella sp.
Lineage: Eukaryota; Fungi; Ascomycota; Leotiomycetes; Helotiales; Dermateaceae
Also listed under: 1 other name
Description: partial contains 5.8S ribosomal RNA, internal transcribed spacer 2, and large subunit ribosomal RNA
Rfam family: 5.8S ribosomal RNA (bases 1-52)
Source: RNAcentral